AGAAACUUGGCUCACAUGAGCCUCUUGCCUCCCAAAACCUCAAAUCAUGCAUAAAGCUCAACUAGGACAUGCAUACAAGUUCCUAGGGGUCUCAAACAAUCAAAUACCCCAACUACAACACUUCAAAUACACCCAAUCAACACACAUUGUUCAAAACAUCAAUAUUAACCCAUAACUCAACAUAUGUCCUAACAUGCAUUUCUA
RNAcentral lists this long non-coding RNA (204 nucleotides) under Manihot esculenta (cassava). Its description in RNAcentral is "long non-coding RNA (MESC_LNC012681)". The record is from RNAcentral. Lineage: Eukaryota; Viridiplantae; Streptophyta; Magnoliopsida; Malpighiales; Euphorbiaceae.